Long non-coding RNA from Leucoraja erinaceus (little skate), 224 nucleotides. RefSeq lists it as uncharacterized. The transcript is spliced from 3 exons. Lineage: Eukaryota; Metazoa; Chordata; Chondrichthyes; Rajiformes; Rajidae. The record is from RefSeq and is a predicted model, not a curated record.
AGGAAGGUGCAAACAUCAACAAGUCUCUCACUACCCUGGGGAAAGUCUCUCCGCCCUGGCUGAGGGGGGCAAGAGGAGGAAGUCAGAGUUCAUCUCCCGUACCCUGACUCCGUGCUGACCUGGCUGCUGAAGGAGAGCCUGGGGGGCAACUCUCGAACGGCCAUGAUCGCCGCCCUCAGCCCCGCUGACCUGAACUACGAGGAGACCCUCAGUACCCUCAGGUA